GACGAACGCUGGCGGCGUGCUUAACACAUGCAAGUCGAACGGAAAGGCCCUGCUUGCCGGGUACUCGAGUGGCGAACGGGUGAGUAACACGUGGGUGAUCUGCCCUGCACUUCGGGAUAAGCCUGGGAAACUGGGUCUAAUACCGGAUAGGAGCCAUUUUUAGUGUGAUGGUUGGAAAGUUUUUUCGGUGUAGGAUGAGCUCGCGGCCUAUCAGCUUGUUGGUGGGGUAAUGGCCUACCAAGGCGGCGACGGGUAGCCGGCCUGAGAGGGUGGACGGCCACAUUGGGACUGAGAUACGGCCCAGACUCCUACGGGAGGCAGCAGUGGGGAAUAUUGCACAAUGGGCGCAAGCCUGAUGCAGCGACGCCGCGGGGGGGAUGACGGCCUUCGGGUUGUAAACUCCGUUCGCUAGGGACGAAGCUUUUUGUGACGGUACCUAGAGAAGAAGCACCGGCUAACUACGUG
Molecule: ribosomal RNA, 465 nt
Filed under: uncultured bacterium
Lineage: Bacteria
Description: partial 16S ribosomal RNA
Rfam family: Bacterial small subunit ribosomal RNA
Source: RNAcentral